This 486-nucleotide ribosomal RNA is filed under the name uncultured bacterium. RNAcentral describes it as "bacterial SSU rRNA". It matches the Rfam family "Bacterial small subunit ribosomal RNA", at positions 28 to 516 of the family's 1533-position model. The record is from RNAcentral.
GAUGAACGCUAGCGGCAGGCUUAACACAUGCAAGUCGAGGGGUAUAGUAGCAAUACUAGAGACCGGCGCACGGGUGCGUAACGCGUAUGCAAUCUACCUUUUACAGAGGGAUAGCCCAGAGAAAUUUGGAUUAAUACCUCAUAGCAUUGCGAAAUGGCAUCAUUUUGCAAUUAAAGUCACAACGGUAAAAGAUGAGCAUGCGUCCCAUUAGCUAGUUGGUAAGGUAACGGCUUACCAAGGCAACGAUGGGUAGGGGUCCUGAGAGGGAGAUCCCCCACACUGGUACUGAGACACGGACCAGACUCCUACGGGAGGCAGCAGUGAGGAAUAUUGGACAAUGGGCGCAAGCCUGAUCCAGCCAUGCCGCGUGCAGGAUGACGGUCCUAUGGAUUGUAAACUGCUUUUUGUACGAGAAGAAACACUCCGACGUGUCGGAGCUUGACGGUAUCGUAAGAAUAAGGAUCGGCUAACUCCGUGCCAGCAGCG